UAAGAGCCUACGCCACCAAAGUAAAAGCAGGAUUCGACCUCGUUCGAAUCACGGCUGUUAUUUCGAUAAGUUCUAAAUAACACCCUUAAGGCUAAAAGCCUUCGCCAUUAAAGUAAAAGCAGAAUUCGACCUCGUUCGAAUCACGACGGGAUGUUAUUUUGAUAAGUUCGAAAUAAUACCCUUAAGGCUAAGGGCCUUCGCCAUCAAAGUAAAAGCAAGAUUCGAACUCGUUCGAAUCACGACAGGAUUUUAUUUCGAUAAGUUCGAAAUAACACCCAUACGGCUAAGGGCCUUCGCCAUACAAAUAAAAGAAGUAUUCGACCUCGUUCGAAUCACGACGGGAUGUUAUUUUGAUAAGUUAGAAAUAACACCAUUAUGGCUAAGAGCCUUCGCUAUCAAAGUAAAAAGCAGGAUUCGACCUCAUUUGAAUCACGACGGGAUGUUAUUUCGAUAAGUUAGAAAUAACACCGUUAAGGCUAAGAGCCUUCG
This 489-nucleotide long non-coding RNA is filed under the name Nicotiana tabacum (common tobacco). Its description in RNAcentral is "long non-coding RNA (NTAB_LNC016823)". The record is from RNAcentral. Lineage: Eukaryota; Viridiplantae; Streptophyta; Magnoliopsida; Solanales; Solanaceae.